RNAcentral lists this ribosomal RNA (301 nucleotides) under uncultured bacterium. RNAcentral's name for it is "partial 16S ribosomal RNA". It matches the Rfam family "Bacterial small subunit ribosomal RNA", at positions 509 to 807 of the family's 1533-position model. The record is from RNAcentral.
CAGUAGCCGCGGUAAUACGUAGGUGGCAAGCGUUGUCCGGAAUUAUUGGGCGUAAAGGGCUCGCAGGCGGUUUCUUAAGUCUGAUGUGAAAGCCCCCGGCUCAACCGGGGAGGGUCAUUGGAAACUGGGAAACUUGAGUGCAGAAGAGGAGAGUGGAAUUCCACGUGUAGCGGUGAAAUGCGUAGAGAAGUGGAGGAACACCAGUGGCGAAGGCGACUCUCUGGUCUGUAACUGACGCUGAGGAGCGAAAGCGUGGGGAGCGAACAGGAUUAGAUACCCCUGUAGUCCCUGUCUCUUAUAC